RNAcentral lists this ribosomal RNA (452 nucleotides) under uncultured bacterium. Its description in RNAcentral is "partial 16S ribosomal RNA". It matches the Rfam family "Bacterial small subunit ribosomal RNA", at positions 28 to 507 of the family's 1533-position model. The record is from RNAcentral.
GAUGAACGCUGGCGGCGUGCCUAACACAUGCAAGUCGAGCGAUUUACUUCGGUAAAGAGCGGCGGACGGGUGAGUAACGCGUGGGUAACCUGCCCUGUACACACGGAUAACAUACCGAAAGGUAUGCUAAUACUAGAUAAUAUGCUUUUAUCGCAUGGUAGAAGUAUCAAAGCUUUUGCGGUACAGGAUGGACCCGCGUCUGAUUAGCUAGUUGGUGAGGUAACGGCUCACCAAGGCGACGAUCAGUAGCCGACCUGAGAGGGUGAUCGGCCACAUUGGAACUGAGACACGGUCCAAACUCCUACGGGAGGCAGCAGUGGGGAAUAUUGCACAAUGGGCGAAAGCCUGAUGCAGCAACGCCGCGUGAGAGAUGAAGGCCUUCGGGUCGUAAAGCUCUGUCCUCAAGGAAGAUAAUGACGGUACUUGAGGAGGAAGCCCCGGCUAACUACGUG